GGGCUAUAUUCAAUAGGCUAGGAGAGGAAAAGAGUUGAAUAAUUGAGUACAAUAAUUGCAAGUUAUAUGUUCUUCUUCUAUUAUUCAGAUAUGUUGAUGAUUUUGAAUAUAUAUAUACUUUAUAUUGCUCAACAUGCCUUAAAUUAUAAAUCAAAAAUCUUAAAUUAUGAUCCUAAGAUUUAUGCAUUUAAUGCUUAAUCAAAUAAUGAUAGAAAUG
Molecule: long non-coding RNA, 217 nt
Filed under: Elaeis guineensis (African oil palm)
Lineage: Eukaryota; Viridiplantae; Streptophyta; Magnoliopsida; Arecales; Arecaceae
Description: long non-coding RNA (EGUI_LNC060712)
Source: RNAcentral